RNAcentral lists this ribosomal RNA (490 nucleotides) under Neonectria sp. RNAcentral describes it as "eukaryotic LSU rRNA". The stretch from base 113 to 266 matches the Rfam family "5.8S ribosomal RNA". Lineage: Eukaryota; Fungi; Ascomycota; Sordariomycetes; Hypocreales; Nectriaceae. The record is from RNAcentral.
UGAACAUACCUAUUUGUUGCCUCGGCGGUGCCUGUUCCGACAGCCCGCCAGAGGACCCCAAACCCUGAUUACAUUUAAGAAGUCUUCUGAGUAAACCGAUUAAAUAAAUCAAAACUUUCAACAACGGAUCUCUUGGUUCUGGCAUCGAUGAAGAACGCAGCGAAAUGCGAUAAGUAAUGUGAAUUGCAGAAUUCAGUGAAUCAUCGAAUCUUUGAACGCACAUUGCGCCCGCUAGUAUUCUGGCGGGCAUGCCUGUCCGAGCGUCAUUUCAACCCUCAAGCCCCCGGGCUUGGUGUUGGGGAUCGGCGAGCCUCCGCGCCCGCCGUCCCCUAAAUCUAGUGGCGGUCUCGCUGUAGCUUCCUCUGCGUAGUAGCACACCUCGCACUGGGAAACAGCGCGGCCACGCCGUUAAACCCCCAACUUCUGAACGUUUGACCUCGGAUCAGGUAGGAAUACCCGCUGAACUUAAGCAUAUCAAUAAGCGGAGGAA